RNAcentral lists this transfer RNA (69 nucleotides) under Marmota monax (woodchuck). RNAcentral describes it as "tRNA.Asp". The record is from RNAcentral. Lineage: Eukaryota; Metazoa; Chordata; Mammalia; Rodentia; Sciuridae.
GGGAGUAUCCUAGAGGUAGAGUUUGUGCUUAUCAAGCACAAGGCCCUAGGUUCAAUCCCCAGCGCUACA